AGUGAACGCUGGCGGCAGGCCUAACACAUGCAAGUCGAACGGCAGCACAGUAAGAGCUUGCUCUUACGGGUGGCGAGUGGCGGACGGGUGAGGGAUACAUCGGAAUCUACUUUUUCGAGGGGGAUAACGUAGGGACACUUACGCUAAUACCGCAUACGACCUACGGGUGAAAGCAGGGGAUCUUCGGACCUCGCGCGAUUGAAUGAGCCGAUGUCGGAUUAGCUAGUUGGCGGGGUAAAGGCCCACCAAGGCGACGAUCCGUAGCUGGUCUGAGAGGAUGAUCAGCCACACUGGAACUGAGACACGGUCCAGACUCCUACGGGAGGCAGCAGUGGGGAAUAUUGGACAAUGGGCGCAAGCCUGAUCCAGCCAUACCGCGUGGGUGAAGAAGGCCUUCGGGUUGUAAAGCCCUUUUGUUGGGAAGGAAAAGCAGCAGGUUAAUACCCCGCUGUUCUGACGGUACCCAAAGAAUAAGCACCGGCUAACUUCGUG
Molecule: ribosomal RNA, 492 nt
Filed under: uncultured bacterium
Lineage: Bacteria
Description: partial 16S ribosomal RNA
Rfam family: Bacterial small subunit ribosomal RNA
Source: RNAcentral